UACGUAGGCAGCAAGCGUUGUUCGGAAUUAUUGGGCGUAAAGAGUAUGUAGGUGGUGUCGUAAGUUUGGUGUGAAAUCUCCUGGCUUAACUGGGAGGGUGCGCCGAAGACUGCGAUGCUUGAGUAUGGGAGAGGGAAUCGGAAUUCCUGGUGUAGCGGUGAAAUGCGUAGAUAUCAGGAGGAACACCUGUGGUGUAGACGGGUUCCUGGACCAUUACUGACACUGAGAUACGAAAGCGUGGGUAGCAAACAGGAUUAGAUACCCUGGUAGUCCACGCCCUAAACGAUGCACACUUGGUGUGAGCCAUUCAGUUGGUUUGUGCCGGAGCUAACGCGUUAAGUGUGCCGCCUGGGGAGUACGGUCGCAAGGCUG
This 372-nucleotide ribosomal RNA is filed under the name uncultured prokaryote. Its description in RNAcentral is "bacterial SSU rRNA". It matches the Rfam family "Bacterial small subunit ribosomal RNA", at positions 524 to 896 of the family's 1533-position model. The record is from RNAcentral.